Molecule: long non-coding RNA, 879 nt
Organism: Amblyraja radiata (thorny skate)
Lineage: Eukaryota; Metazoa; Chordata; Chondrichthyes; Rajiformes; Rajidae
Exons: 3
Source: RefSeq, a predicted model, not a curated record
GUGGUUAUUUUUAUGGAGAGGCCGAGCACAAUGUCAUUACAGCUUCAGUGUCCCUGCCAGCAGCCUUGCUAAUUUCCACAAUAUUGUGUUAUCCAUGAGAAAGCCAUGAACCUUUCCUUUGUGAUUCACAGAUUAGACUUGUUAGCCAAGAGAAGAGUGGAGGACACAGAGAGAACUGAAGUGAAUACACAGAUGAUAAUUUCAAAAUCAGGACAUUGCUUUAAUGUGUGCCUGAUACAUCAAUAAACAGGAAGCAGUGAAUAUCAAUGGUCAGGCAGUAACUGUGGGGAAAAUGGAUAGGAAAUAGAAGAACAAGAAAGGCGACUGAGAGAGCAAACCAGUUUUGUGAGGGUUUCAUCUGAAAGUUGUUCAAGUAAAGAAACCUCUUUCGAUUGGAAGAGAAUAAAUGGAAGCUAUGUUGUGCCUUCCCUGACCAAUCGAGUGGAUGGCAGUCACUCUUGUCGACUGGGGCACGUUGUAAUGCAAUAUCUUUGGCUGUCUUCCAAAAGCUGAAAAACACAGAAACGUUAACUCAUCCAACUGCAUCACUUGUCUCGUUUAAUGGUUCUCGUCUACACCCUAUCGGCCAAGUAAAGUUACGUUGCCGUCUCAACUCAUGUGACCACAUCCUGGAUUUUUACGUGGUACGCGAGAAGGUACCAUCCAUACUGGGUGCCGAUGCAUGCCAUGACAUGGGUUUGAUUUCUUUCAGCCCUUCUGUCUGUCCACUGACUAUAGGCUGUGAUUUUACACAUCACAUUUUAACACAAUACAAGGAUUUAAUUAACGAAAAGCUUGGCAGGUUGCCUGUGAGAUACACAAUUACUAUUGACCCUGAGGCAAUCCCAGUUGUUCGUCUGGCUCACAAGAGUCCCCACG